Molecule: long non-coding RNA, 17046 nt
Organism: Mirounga angustirostris (Northern elephant seal)
Lineage: Eukaryota; Metazoa; Chordata; Mammalia; Carnivora; Phocidae
Exons: 5
Source: RefSeq, a predicted model, not a curated record
CCAAAUGAAAGGGCAAAAAGGAGAUGGGUUUCAGUUUGGAGCUACAGGAGGGCAAUUAUUUCUCUAAUGUGAUUUGCUUCCUGUAGCUAAAACGGAGUCCCUUCAAAUGAGAUUGUUUGCUAAGUGAGGCGUCUCCUUCCUCUUUCACCCUUGGAUGAAUUAGGGAGCAAGAGGAAUCAGUCAAGGUUCCUCGCUGUGAUGGGCUAAGGAGCUCUGUGCAUUCCCUGUGGAUAGCGGUCUGCUGCUGGAGAGGCCACAGGCUGGAGCAAGGAGCUGACUCACAGGGUAGGGAGAAAAUGGCCUGGAUCUUUCACAGAGGUCUAAGCACUUCGAAGUUAGCCGUGCACACAGUCUCCUUGAACUGGCUUUCCUCUUCUACCCGCCGGAGACGCCGAAGUUGUAUCUCCCAUCCCACGUGCUCUUACGCAAUAUUCCCUUGCCGGUUCUUCGGCAAGAGGUAGUCUCUUCCCCCUCCCAUUGCAUCUGGGCUCGCUGUGCGACUGGCUUUAACCAGAGGAACAUAGCAGAAGUACUCGAUGUAAGAGAACAGCAGCUUCCUUCUUCAUUCACCUGUUGGAACAUCGCUUCUUGGAACCCAUCGGCCUCAAGGUGAGGAUGUCCGAUUAGCCACAUGAAAGGCCCAAGUGGAUGAGAACUCAGGUCUCCAGCCGGCAGCCUCAGCUGAGCUCCUGGUUGACAGCCAGCACCAACUUGCAGUCCUGUGAAUGAAGCCACUGCGGACCUUCCAACCAUCCCAGUAUCCCAGGCAGCACCUGCAAGGCAUAUGCAACCCCUGGUCACUCCACAGAAUUGUGGGUAAUAAGAAACUCUUUUGUUCUAAGUCCCUAUGACGUAGGGUGGUUUUGUGCAGUAGUAGUUAACCAAAACAGCUCCUAAAUUUCGACAGCAUUCAGAACCCUGGUGUAAAGGAGUUGUUGAGGGGACAGCAAGUGGGUUAUAUCCUACUGCAUUACACUUGGCCUUAGUAGAGCUUCAGCAUCAGGUACAGGUAGCUAGGCCUGAGAAAAUGGAAAUCAAACUUUUAAUUGUACUUGGUAAUUACCUCUCUUUGGAGUAUCAUUGGAAAAUUCUUUUAUAUCCUAGCUACAAGUGGCCCAGGCCACUCUUGCUUGGGAUCCUGCUCUGGUGUUGGUGACAAUUUAGGAAGAGGCUGCAGGGACAGCCAGGAGGGAAGGAAGACGGCAGGAGAGGGUUCAGUGUGAUGGGGAAAACUGAGUCUGACAUUUCCAUCUAAAGGUUCAGAAUUCGAUACUGCCAUUUUUUAUAGAAUCAGAGAAGUUUACAGGGAUAUUAUUUUAUUUUUUCAGAUGCUAAUUCUUCAAAUGAUGAAAUGAGAAACCUCUGUUCUCUUGCCUCUUCUCUCGCUCUCUCUUUAAAAGAAGAAACAACAAAGAUAUCUAACCUAUUACUGAGCUCUGGCCUGAAAUUCAGAUAUUUGGACUUGACCCAAUGUCAAUAUUUUGGGAAAAGUUUGAACUAAGUCAUUCAUGCACUCCUGGGUUUCAAGCGUGAAAAAUCCCCACAGUUUUCCACUUAAAGAAAAAAUAAAAGGUCUGAAAACUAUGUACUGAAAAGCCAUCAAACGUUUUAGGCCGUAAACUUCAAACUUGGCGGGAUGAAGUGACCACCAAACAAGGAAAUUCAAGUCAAGUGCGAAUCAAGGAGCCAAAGCUUGUAAUGUGUUAAAGGCACAUAGACCAAAGUCUGUGCAGAGCAUCGUAGGGUGAAACUCUGCAUCACAACUGGGACCUGUCACUGAGCAGGGGCCUCUAACCAGGGCCACUUUCUCUUGCCUGAUAAUUGCAAUGGUCUCGUAACUGGUUUCCUUGAGUCACAUCUGUAUCUUUUUAAAUCUGGUCAUUUUCCUGUUUACAAACUCUCGGCGACUCCCCAUUGCCCCCAGGAUAAAUCAACACUUCUCAAGACGCCUUAAGAGGUGGCAGGCAUGAUCCAGCUUCCCUCUCUGGCUAUAGCUCCGGCCACACCCGAACUCAAACCCUUUUCCCCAGUCAUGCUGAAUUCCGUGGUGUUCCAAGAAUGUUCACUGCUCUCCAACACGAGCCCUUGUACAUGCUGUUCCUUCUGCUAGAGCUGCACUCCACCCCCAACUCUUAUUUGUGCAACAAGAAUCGGCUCAGAUGUCACCUCUUCCGGGAAGGACUAGAGGUACUGCCUCUGUAUUCCUAGGGCAUUUGGGAGUUUGUCAUGCUGUAUGAUAAUCAGUUUACACAUUUAUAUCCUCCAUUAAACUGGGAAUUCCCUAAGGGCAGUGACCAUGCCGUAUUUGACUUUUUAAUCUCUCAAACCCUACAUAGUGCCUGACUUCUAGUAGAUGCUCACGAAAUCAUUGUGAAUCAGACUAAACAAAUAGCCUUAAACCCCAUCUAUAUUUUUGCACCAGGGGAAGGAACCAGAGAAAGGUAGGGGAAGAGGACUUUGAGAGUGAGCCCUACAGAACUGAGACUCUGAGAUCUGAAGAGAAUUAUAUGUCCAAGUCAUAAUUUUGCCUCGAAUGGAUCCAUCCCUAUAAAAUACCUUCCACAUCCACUGCAACUUAACAUGGCAAUGUUCUUGUUUUCAGAAGACUUGCCACAAGGACUUUGUCACAGAGGUUUGGAAUUUACUUAUUUAAUUAACAAAGAUAAUUUGAAUUCCAACUGUGCCAGGCCUUGUGCAAAUUUAAAUAUGAAGACAACAUGACUUGUUUUCUUCAAGGAGUCUGUAGUAUGGUGGGGAAUUGGCAAUGGGAGUCGGUUUUGAUUUGGUGCUAUUGUUGUUGUUAAGACUUCUGCAAGUAAAAGUUUCUUCCGGGGGAAGGCUGCCCCAAUUACAGGGAACUCAGCUGACUGAUGUUCAUUCUGCUCCAAAAAAAUGUUUUUAUUCUUUUUCCAGAAGAAAUAAAUGAAGAAAGCUCACCCAGGAGAGUCAAUAUGGAUGAUACUCCCCACCAUGGGAACAAAACAUUUUUUUUUUUAAACAAAUGCCACAUUAACAAGCAGAUAAGAAGCUACUGGAUACAGACAUGUAGAAGCAAGGAAGUUCGAGCUGCGUACCUCUGCCGUAACCGAAUCACAAAGAAGGAACAGACUUUUCUCCCUGGAGGCAUGAUCUGUGCCUAGAAUUCUUGAGAAUCAUGGCCCUAAUUUUAUAUGUCGGGGAUGAAAUGUCCUUGGGUAAGAUGUUUAGAAUGGAAAUGGAGGAGACGGUGAGACCCUGGAGUGGGCCCUCUGUCCACUAGGUCAGGCUUCAAGUUCACCUAAUCAUGUUUGAGGCCUGCAGUUGAUGCUGGGAAGGAUCCCGAUAUGGAGAUGACAUCAACCAAUGGACCCAUGCCCGUGGAUCACAGGAAUUUACAAUGGAUAUCAUGGGGCAGAAUUUGACCUAGAGGUGUUGGGAGGAGAGCAGAGAAACAAGCCUGAAAUUCUCCUCUGAAUGCUGUCCAUUUAGUCAACUGUCCAAAUUGGAAAUAUCCACUCACUUCUGCUUUUCUUCUGAACGUUAAAUUUCUGAGAUCUAGAAAUGUAUUUAAAGGAGAACUUAAGAAGAGUUGUUUGCUUUUUAAUAAUAAUAAUAAUAUUGUUAAAUAUGAUAAAUUAUUGGCUCUGGUUCUUUCCCCUCUUUUUGUCCAUACCCUCUGCCAUCUAUAUUUGCCAUCUAUAUUUGUACUUCCCUGACCUUGACUUGCACUUGGGCCAAUGGAAUGUGAAUAAACAUGAUGGUAUGACAGAUCUGAGUCUAGGUCUAAAGGGCCAGUGCCAGAUUCUGUUUGUUUUUCUUGUGCCUCUUCCAUUACCAGGAGAAGAGCUUGUGCUCAGUAGUUGCCUCCUAGCAACACAAUACACAUGCAACAGACAUAAGCCCCAAAUCAGUGAAGAUUGAAGCCCAGCUGGAUCUUCAGCUUGAAGUAGAGUCACCCAGCUGAUGCCAGCCUAGAUCUGCAGACGCACAGAUACACAAGCAAAAAUUAAUCAGUGUUGUUUAAAUCACUAUUUGGUGGGGCGCCUGGGUGGCUCAGUUGGUUAAGCAUCUGCCUUUGGCUCAGGUCAUGAUCUCAGGGUUCUGGGAUCGAGUCCCAUAUCGGGCUCCUUGUUCAGCAGGGAGCCUGCUUCUCCCUCUGCCUGAUGCUCCCCCUGCUUGUGUGCUCUCUUUCUGUCAAAUAAAUAAACUAAAUCUUUAAAAAGAAAUUAACCACUAUUUGGGUUAAUUUGUUAUGCAGCAAUAACUAACUGAUACUCCUACUACUAUUACUACUAAUAAUAUUAGCUCAACUUGCCCAUAAUUUGUCCAAGGUCACUCAGCUGGUACCAUCAGUGAAGAUGGAAUUCAAAUUCUGGACUCUUAAUCACCUCCUUAUAUAACCUUGAGAAAUGAACCUGGUUAAUAUUCUGGUGAGUUCUUCUCAGGCAAAGAAUUUUUACCCUAGAAUGAAGACGAGAUGAGAAAAUACAUAGGUUUCUUUUUUAGAUGGUUUGCAGAGAAGAGAAGAGCUAUAAUCAUACCAGGAUAAUACAUUCAUGGACCACAGUCAGAGGUCUUCAGUUCUCAGAGAGAGGGAAAAAUAUAUUCAAAAAAAAAAAAAAAAGAAAAGUAAACAAAAGCAGGAUUCAGGAUUAACGAAUGGCAGGUCAUAGAAAAAUAAGGAUGAAUGAAGGACUGCCUAGCAUUAUUGCUGUGUGUUAGGAUUUGCCUCUCAGUUACUAGCUUUGUGAUUUUCUCUAGAACUCAGUUUUCUCAUCUGUGAAAUAAGGAUAAUGAAAGCAACUACUUCAUAGGGUUGUUGAAAGGUUUAAGUGAGUAUAUGUAAUCAAUAUAUGUAAAUGCUUAGAAGAGUGUCUGGCACUAAGUAGUACGGAGAUAUUAGCUGAGUGGUGCCUCCCCAGUGGAGCACCGUACUUAACAUCUGCCUGGUAUUUCUGACUGCACCUCUGUGAUGGUUUUGUAUUAUGUUAACCUAACUACCAGAACCACAUUUCCCAGAAUCCCUUUUCCUAUACGGUCUGGGCUAGAACUGCCAUAUGAAAAAUUUGCAUGAGAUUUGGAAGCUGGAGGUGAAGCUUCAGCCACCAUGCUCUGAAGGUUAGUGUAGGGUGUUGCUGUAGCUCAUUUAUUGAUCUACAGGCUGACUCAGCUGGUGCAGGGCAGCAGUGGGCCUGCAUGUCCUCCACUCCCUCUGGCCCUCCUCUUGCAGCUUCUCUGAACCCUGGCCAGGUGUGUGUGCAGCUCCAUGAUGAAGGGUCCCAGCUUCCAUGUAGUAGAAGUUGAGAUGAUGGGAGACAGAUAUGUGGUGCCGUUGGUCUUCAUGGAUUUCAGAUUGUCCUUGUAGAUUACUGUUUGUUUCCAGAGGUUAUAGUAAUCUUGCCCUUGCUUUCCUCCACUUCAUGUCCUACCUUCUUUCCAUUCCAGGCCUGCCAACCUACAGCGACUUCAGGACUGACCCCCACCAAAUGAGAGAUAACAGCUCUGCACAGACAUCUUCACUAGCUCUCACCAUUACUCAAGGUGAUUGUGGGCCAGAUGUGGAUCAGCUUGGCUAGGCUGGACUCAAGACUUUAGGUUAGGUUCUGCUUAGUUUCAUUUUGAAACUCUGACUAAAGUCACCAUGGUGACCCAGGGCAUGACAUCCUGAUUGCAGGGAUCAAAUGAUCAAGAGGAGCAUGUGGAAACAUGUAAUGUCUCGUGAGAUAUUGCCCUGGAAUUGGAAACUGUCACUUCUGCUCACAUUCUAUUUGCAAGUCAUAUGAUCAAGCCCUAAAUAAGUGGGAUGAAGAGGUGUAUUCCACUCAGUGAAGCUGUUGAAUUAUGUCCACCAAAUUCCUAUGUAGACAUCUUUACCCCCAGUACCUCAUCAUGUGACCUGGUUUGGAAAUAAGGUCGUCACAGAGGUAAUUGAGUUCAAAUGAGGUCAUUAAGGAGGGCCUUAAUCUGAAAUGACUGGUGCCUCAUAAAAAGGGGAAAUUUGGACAGAGAAGCACAGACUGCGAGAGGACAAUGUGGAGACAGAGAAGAUGGUCAUUUGCAAAUCUAGAAGAUCUGCCUUUCACGGCCCUUAGGAGGAACCAAUCCUGCUAAUACCUUGAUCUUGGACUUCUAGCUUCCAAAAAUAAGCUCACACUACAUGCCGUGAGGACAGACAAGGAACUGCAGCAGCCCAAAUCCCAGACUGGAAGAAGCCUCUGACUCUGGGUACUUAUUCCUUCACCCACCUCUCACCAGCUGCAGAUGAAGCUGAAAGCCCUGUCUAACCCUGACUGCAAAGGGUUAACACUCUGCCCCUGAAAUGACUGGGUUUCCUUUUGGUCAGUGUUGUUUUUCAGGCUCAUGCCUUCCUGAUGACUCAGUGCAGAUCAACGUGACCAUGAGUUUUUGGUUCCUGAGUAUAUGUAACUGACUCAGAUUACCAAAAAUUGAGAACUGAUUGCAUUUGCCUUCUCCAUCCAUGGUGAAAUAGCUCACCUGUAUCCUGAGUGGUGGAGAAAAGGCUUCUGUGACACUGGGUGCCUCAGAGGAUGGGCAGUGCAGUCUCCGGGGUGGAAAAAAAUCAGAGGCUGCUACUAAGUAAAGAAUCUGUGGGACUCAAACACAGAGGGAGGGGGCAGGGCACCAAAAGGACUGACACCUGAAUAAUCCAUCUGUAGCAAAAUGGCUUCCAACUAAUUAAACAUAUAAAAACCUCUUUUAGAGAAGAUAAUCCUAUUGGAUCAACUUGCAAGAUUUUUCCAGCCAGCUUCUGUCUCUUGGAGCUUCAAUUAAAAGCUGUUUAGCAGAUGGCAAUUUCUGAGUCACAAAGUUAGACUCUCUGGCAACCAUGUGUGCUUUUGGUUUCCCAGGGGAUCCUGGCCACAUAUGGCCCUAGAAGAGGUGUGAGAGUUCUUCCUUGGCAUACAGUAGAGGGCUCCUCCCCCACCUCAACACACAGAUGACAGGGAUUUCAACAUAGCCAUCAAGGGUGAUUAACAGGAGGGAUUCUUCCAGAUAAUUCAGGGAUUUAGGGAAGGGAGCUUGAACAUCAUCUAGUGCAACCCCUUCUUUUUAUAGAAUUAGGAAACCGAGGCUGGGGGAGGGGGGUUCUGUAAUCUAUCUAAAGUCACCCAGCAAUGGAGAAGCAGGGGUCAGGACCAGUCUCAUGCUUAAUUACUAGAGAGACAACUUUUCUAUUUCCUUUGGGGACCUAAUUGAUUGCCUCGUCCUUUCCUUAAACUCACAGAGCUGCUAAAGGAUAUUUUACUAACGAUCUGACAAAUUGGUCAGGAGAGGGGCUUGACAGGUCAAUUUGUCUACCUCUUACUUCACUACAGGACAAAACCUCUGAAGUAGAACCCCAUUGCUCUUCUCAUCAGAGCUGUCCACUAAUGUUGAAGUCACAGCUUCCCUUGGGUGCUGCCAAAGAGAAACAGCCAAACACUAGUGAAGGCAGCACGAUUUUAUUCAGUACUACUGCAGUAGGGGAGAGACCUCAGUUUGACUUCACAGAAAUGAAAGGCAGGAGGGUUUUCAAGUGCUGGGGUGUACUUGAAAGGAAAAGUACUUUAAAAAGUUGGGGUCAGGGCAAGAAGACUGAUGUGAAUAGGCCACCUGUGCUUGCUUAUUGUAGUCAGCCUCUUACCGUCCCACAGAAACUGGGUGACAGGGUCCUACCUUUCUGGUUGAUGGUUACAUUUCAAAGUGAUGGCUUCCAGGUCCUUGAGAAAAACAUCCCUGGCUUGUGGAAGGCACAUCACAAAAGGACAGAAAAAAGAUUUACAGUUGCAAGUUUUUAAACUAAUGCUUCUAAGAAAAUGGAGGUCAGGAGCCUAUAGUCAUGUUUUAGAACGAACAGUAAAUUCUUUUGGCAGCUUUGAGCUUUCUCAAAGCAGGAAUUUAAGGAGACUGGGGCCAUCAUUCUAGGAAUGCACCCUUGAGCUGUUAGAAACUUGCUGGUGUUGUUUAAGUCUUUCAGUGUGAAAGGUGGACAAAUAAUUUGUUCUGGAAGUCUGCAGUUUUCCUAGGCUGAGGUUGAGGUCUACUCAAGAAGAGGUCACAGAGGAGCCUGACUCAAAUUUGGUUAAAGACAGAGUCUUUGUCAAUGUUGGCGAGACCUCCAAUGCCCUGCUGGUCAGAAAGUUGAUUCAGAGAUUUUCCCGUAUUUCUCACCAUGGUUUAAACCUAUUUAUUCCUGUUCUUCACUGGGGCUAGAAGUUGGUUCGUGCUCUGCUCUGGAAUGGUUCUUCAUAUAUUUACAACCAAUCUUUCCCAAACUGAAUUUUAAGUUGUUUGAAGUCGGGUCCAUGUAUGACAUUUUUAAGAAACCUUCCAAUGUACCUUGUAAGUAACUGACUUGAUAAUCAUUCACUGACCCACCUGCCAGAUUACAUUCCAUUUUCAAUAGUGCUAAUCAAUAUCUCACAGCCCAUAUCCUAUUUCUAUAACCACCUCUGUGAUUUUUUUUUUUCUGAACCCUCUUCCAAUGUAGGAGACCAAAAUAAACCUCCUCUAUUUACCUCUGUAAUUUCACCAGCACGUUCUCUUUCAAAAAUGUCCCCAAGAAUUCAACUCAUCAAACUUUUCCUGAGCCCCAGUAAAAGCCAGACAAACAGUGUCCUGGAAGCUAGGGAGGAAGAGAUCAAUGGGUCAGGGUUUCUGCUCUCAAGUGGACAAAUGGGGAGACUGACAAGUAUUUCAAGGAUUCCAAUACUCAGUGAGAAGCUCUGCAUAGUGGUGUGUGCCCAAAAGAAGGUCCCUAAUUCAGUUUGAGUGGGAAAUGGUUAGGGAAAGUCUCCUAGAAGAGACAACUCUGCUUGGGUUAGGUUCCCUUGAAGGAAAGUCUGAGAGGAGAAAUCUUAGACAAGUGAUUUAAUGAAGGAGAUCAGAAGAAACCUGUGAAGAAAUGAGGGAAGCCUGAUAGAUGUACGCAUACAUGUGAAUUCAGCCGUGUAGUCUAUCCUUAGUCUGAUCCCAAAGGUAUAUCUGGAGGGAGUAUAAAUCACGCCAGAGUUGCCCCUCAUGGGGUCAAAGAGGCCAGACUUCUGUGCUCCUUAUCAGGCUACAGGCUGCUCCCGAGGGGGAGAGGACCUAACAUCUUACAUAAUUCUGGGAGAAGCUCCUGCUGGCAGCUGGUGAUCUCUGGAGAAGGAUGUAGUUUUGAGCAGCUGGGGAGACCGGAGAUGCAGCCCCUGGAGACACUGAGCCAGAGGAUGGACGAGGUAUACACAGAAGGAUGACCAGUGCAAGUUACGUGACAUUUGAGUGCUUCCAAUUCGCAAGGCUGUCUAUCUCUCCCCCGGGAGUAGGAGAUCUUCACCAACUCUUCUCAGGCCCAGCGCUUUGAAGAGGUAUUUGAUUUGUUCACCGGCAGACAACACCCGAGAAGCCCAAAUACAGUCAUUCAGACUCUGCCAUUGUUUACACAGCCUGUCACUCCCCUUGGAGACAACUGGCUGGUCCUGGCUCCAAAUCCAUCUUCUUCUAGCCAAGCUGGUUGCUCAGGACCUCGAGUUCUGCCUGGCGUUCACAAAUUGAUAAAUUGGUGUUUUGUUCUGUUUUUCUCCUUUCUUUUUUUUCCUUUUUCUUUUUUUCUUCUUCUUUUUUUACUUAUUUAUUUGUCAGAGAGAGAGCACACACAGGGGGAGCUGCAGGCAGAGGGAGAAGCAGGCUCCCCGCUGAGCAAGGAGCCCCAUGUGGGACUCGAUCCCAGGACCCUAGGAUCAUGACCUGAGCUGAAAGCAGACACUUAAUGGACUGAGCCACCCAGGCACCCCUCUUUUUUCUUGAGAUGUUAUUUUUUUUUUUGAAAAGAUGGACACUGUUGUAAUCUUCCCUGCCUCUGGGACCUCAGUCUUCCACAUGUUCUCAAAAUUAAUAGCUAAGUAUUUUGCAAUAACACUUGUCAACUCCUUGAGUCUCCUACUUUGCCAGUUUGAAUACACCCACCUUCAAACAAACUCUCUUCUGUGGAGUAGAGUCUGACACACACCUUCCCACCCAUGAGAGGUGAUACUUGUUUUGGUAUGUGGGUACAGCUAAAUCUUGUAUAAACACAUUAAUGAAAUUGGGUAAACCAAGAAUCUACCCUGAACCCAACUCUUAAAGGUGUCAAAAGAUUACAAAAGGCUUUUGUUGAGAUAGCAUGUUAGUGUGCACCCAAGUGUGGAUGGAUGGUUGAUAAAUGCAAGACUGCAAAAUGGCAGCAAGGCUCCUCAGAUGUCUUGUAUGAGCAAUAUAUCCUUCCUCACUUUUCUAAUAAGCAAAAUAAUUGUUUUAGAUCCUCAGGGACUGUUUUGAUUUUCAUUUCCAUCUUUUUGGCAUUCCCAUGUACUUUUCAGGCAUUUGUAUACACGACUCGUUCCAUAAACAUAUAUAAGAGCCCCUGUUGUAUGAUCAGCCACUGUCACGUGCUGGAAAUACAACAGUGGACAAGGCACUCAGGGUCCUGGCUCUCAUGGAGUUUGCAAUUUAGGAAGACAAACAGACAUUUAGCAAAUCAUUUAAAAAAUAUUUAUAUAUCACAAUUGGGAGAGUUCUAAGAAAUAAAAAUACAGUGGUGUUCUGAUUAUCUAUUGCUGCAUAACAAACCAUCCCAAAGCCUAGUCUUAAAACAAUGACAAUAUAGUGCAUCAUGUUGAUGAGCACUCAAAGGGGAGAGCUCACCCCUGCUCUAGUUGGCAUUGGCUGGGGUGGCUCAAGAGAUAGGUGCUGGAAUCAUUUGAAGGAAAAGGCACUCAGCUGUCUGAACGCUCAUGAUGGCUAUCUGCUGGGACCUCAGCCACAGCUAUCCGAUGGGACACAUACGUGUGGCUUCUCUGUGUGGCCUGGGCUUUCCCGCAAUAUGGCGGCUGGGUUUCUAGAGUGUGUGUCCUGAUAGAGAGCAGGAUAGAAGUCCUAUCAUAUCACACCCCACUUAUCCAGGCAGUUACAAAAGCUGACCCAUUUUCAAGGGGAGGGAAUGUAGACUCUUUUUUUUUUUUUAAGAUUUUAUUUAUUUGUCAGAGAGAGAGAGCAAAAGGAGGGGGAGCAUCAGGCAGAGGGAAAAGCAGGCUCCCCGCUGAGCAAUGAACCCGAUGCGGGACUCGACCCCAGGGCCCUGGGAUCGUGACCUGAGCCAAAAGCUGAUGCUUGGCUGACUGAGCCACCCAGGCAUCCCGGAUACAGCCUUCUUGAUGGUGAGAGUGUCAAUGAGUCUGUAGACAUGUUUUAGAUCCACUACACCUAGAGUGACCAUAUAACUCACUGUCCAAAGCAAGACAUUUUGAGAGCAAAAGUGGGUGCUUUUCAAGCAUGAAUAAAACUGGCCUUGGUAAGCCAAGACAGGUUACCUCUACUACUAUGCUCUCCAAGCUCUCUUAAAUUCUUUUGCCUCUCUGAUGUUCAUUGUGUCAUUUUAAAACAUACUCUUUACUCAUUGAAAUUUUGUGUUUUAAAAUUUGUUUUGUGAUCAUUUAUUUUUUCUAAAUCAUAAUUAUUACCUUGUGGCUGCUUGUUCAUGAUGACUCUGGAACUUGGUAGUUAUGAAUCUUGUCCCACUACAUCUUUCCUGCUAAUUGGGACAACUUCUGGCACUGCGGAUCUAAGUGCUUAGAAUGCCUUUUCUCUCAGAUGAGGGAAACCCAAGCAAUGGAAGAAUUUGCUUCAAGGAAUGCUUUUUUAAAAACCUCAUUUUUUGGCGAAGUGGUAAAAAAACACAGUGAUGACUCAUCAGUUGAAAUCAAAUCCUUCAUCCCAAAAAAGUGUUUUUAUAAGAAGUGGGUGGUUUUUUUUUUUUCUUUCCCCAAAGGCAGACUGCAUAAUAUUUGGUGCUUCUCUUUUCUAAGUAAUAUAUUCCAUCUCAGUGGAAAGUGACAGUUUCAGACUUGAGCCAAUAACAUUUUAUUUUCAGAGCUGUGCGUGAUGCCCCCUUAUCCUGGGAUCUGCUUUUGCCUUCAUCCCUGAGAGGAGUUCAGCCAUGGACCAUUCCACACCGACACAGUCUCCCUUUCCUCCCUUCCCUUGGCCAGUGAUUAACCUGUUUUUCUAAAGACCCUUGAGCAGAAUAAAUGCCUAGAGAGAGCAUCUGGAAACAGCACCCAGGUGUAAAUAAGCAUGGCAAGUUAAGUGUCCUUCAAGAGUGGACCACAGUCAACCACUGUCAAUCUCUGUCUUGCAAUCCCGGGUCUCCACGCAGGAGCCUUUAUUCACAAAUCUCCACCAGAAAACAUUUUCUUUCUGUCCUUUCCUUUUUGUGACUCUGUCACUCUGUGCCGUGACUGAAAGAAAGCAGUGUGAUUCUUUUCUGAUCCAGGAAAGCAAACACCCCUUCCUGUUCAAUUUGUCUUCUCAGAAGCUUCCACAAAUAUCUCCUUGCUAGAAAACAAAAAUGCAACACUGGUAUCCAUUUCUGUUCCAGACUGAAAUACACAGGACACUUUUAUGAGUCCCGACCUAUGGCCUGAGCUUCACGAAUUGAGAGGGUAUUCAAGAGAGCUACAACGAGAGCAUCAGGUCUAGGAAACCCGAGCGGAAAGAGUUAAAAGAACCACCAGGGGUGGGAAGAGCAGCGUCCAAUAGCUGCUCAGAUGGCAAGUGGGCCUGGACUUAGGGUGACCCACUGUCCUGGUUUGCCUGGACUGAGGGGGGUCCUGGGGCUUUCCAUUUUUUAUAACCAGAAAGUCCUGGAAAUGCGGGGACUGGCCUUCUCUUCCUUAAUCAGAAGCUCCCCGCACUGCUCUGCUGCCCAGAGCCGGGUUCUGCUCUGGAACUGCAGGAAGGGGCAACGAGAUGAUCGUGGGCCAGGGCCUGGAAGGGAAAGGAAAGAGCCAGAGGCACAGCCAAGCUUUUAGGCUCUAGGUUCGGGGUGCUAAGUGAUGUUUGGGUGAGAAAGUGGCAGUGGUGAAAGUGAACAAUACUCUUCAUGGCACGAAAGCACCACGGUGGAACUCCACCCUGUAAGGAAAGGAUCACUCAGCUUUGUAAAAUGUUAUACGCAACUGAUGAAUUAUUUUUUUUAAAAGAUUUUAUUUAUUUAUUUGAGAGAGAGAAUGAGAUAGAGAGAGCAUGAGAGGGGGAGGGUCAGAGGGAGAAGCAGACUCCCUGCUGAGCAGGGAGCCCGAUGUGGGACUCGAUCCCAGGACUCCAGGAUCAUGACCUGAGCCGAAGGCAGUCGCUUAACCAACUGAGCCACCCAGGCGCCCGAACUGAUGAAUUAUUGAACACUACAUCUGACACUAAGGAGGUACUCUGUGUUGGCUGAUUGAAUCUAACUUAAAAAAAAAAAAUGAACAUGUUCCACCUGAGCUUUUAAGGUCCCUCCCAGGCAGCCUUCCAAGAAUCCUCGGGAGUUAGGGGCAGUCUGGGCCUCUCACCAGAUCCCAGGGCCCCACUCCUGCUCCUCUCAUGUGCUGGGGGUGGGGGGGGCCCUCCCUCUCUGUCCAUCCCCAAUGGCAGGGCAUUCAGUAUUCAAAGCUCCCUUUCUUGUGCUCAAGGCUUCAAGCCCCCAAAACAACCCAGCUUACCGCCCUGCACUGAAAUACCUAGAGGGGAGUCUCCUCUCUGGUCACUUCUCUCUUCAAGAAAAACAAUAUCCCAAAGUCAGAAAUAAAGCAAAAUAGACGCAUGACCCUUGUGGUCAAGCCUGCCUCGGGGUCACUUGACUUUCUAGCAGAACGUAACUUUGUUUAACUUACUAUUUACUCUUGAUCCAACAUGGUAGGAUUCUCCAAGAUUAGCUAUUAGUUCGUUGAGAAUCAUUAAGAUACAAAGGGUGUUUAUCCAAUAGUGGUACAAAUGGGUUUUUUCCUGUAGAGAUCAAAAUGACUUCUGUUUGCGAGAAACUCUAACUUUAAAGGUUAGAGUUUUAUGGCCUUGAAGAAAAAGAAUUAGUGUUGCAUAUAACUUAGUGAACUUAUUCCACAUUUUUGAAAAGAUUUAUUUAUUUAUUUGAGACAGAGAAAGAGAGAGAGCGGGGGGAGGGGGCAGAGGGAGAGGGAGAGAGAGAAUCUCAAACAGACUCCCCACUGAGUACGGAGCAUGACACGAGGCUUGAUCCCAGGACCCUGAGACAACAACCCCAGCUCAAGAAACCAAGAGCGGGAUGCUCAAGAAACUGAGCCAUCCAGGCGCCCCACUCCUUCCACAUUUUUUCUUUUACUACCAUAUAUGAGUCAUCUUGUACAUCUUGUACACCUGGUUCUCUUACUAAUGAGUUAAAAUAAAACUUUGGCAUGUACUCAUAAUGUAUUUGUGUGAGAAUUAUGCUUUUUUAGCAUUUGAAACAUUAUGCUUUGGGCAGUUCCCCCCACCGCACCUCCAUUUUUGGUUCUCUUUGGACCCACAACAACACAGUUUUAAGUCAUGAGUCCUCUUCAUCUUUCUGUUCUUUGUCACUGAUGACACCCUGGGCCUCCCUCAGGGUUGUGGUAAGUGGCACCUAUGGGUAAAAAAAUUUUUUUAAGGAAUUACUCAGUUGCAGAGUUACAGAUAAUAGCAAAAUCUGGACUCUAAGAUGUCCGGCAACGGAUAAUAGGAAAAUAUGGUACAUCAACAUUAAAUACUGUGCAGCUAGUAAGUAUCAUCAUUGUCGAGACUAUUGCAGCAACUCGGAAAAUGCUGAGGUGAGCAUGUGCGAAUACAAUAUUUGCAAUAUAACCUGGAAGUUAAGACAAACAUGAAGAUAUCUAUACGGAAGUACUAUCAGGAAGAUUUCUCAUUUUUCCCCAAAUUUUAUUUAAGAUGGUUUUUGUCCUUUCAAUGAAAAAAAAAACAUUAAAAAGAAAAUUUAAAACCCAAGCAAGCAGAACAUUAAUAUUAUGUGAUCUUAUUGAUGUCAUUAUCGCCGACAUGAUCGUGAAACUAUGGUUCAGAGAUUUCAUCGAAAAACUCUCCGAAGUCUCCCCAAACUUGCCCAUUCUAUCACUCCUUCACCUCUGAAUGCUUAGGAGCUCCAAGGUCGCUUUCAACUCAAUCAUGCUAUGUGACCAGAGCAAGGAAAGGCAAAGCCCUAAGAAGUAGAUAGAGCUUGGUGAGGUAAGAUUUGAAGAGAUGAGCUUCCAAAGGUUUAUGAAAACACAUACGAGACCUCAACCUUCAGCCUCCUGGACAGGGAUGUUAAUAAGCACUGCCCACUGACUCUCAGGUCCCCUUAGGGGGCUGUCAUGUUCCAGCCCCAUAUCUACCCUUAUGGCACUGUUCUUGGUGCCCCAAACUCUACCCAACUCACCCAACUCCACCCUUGGGGCAGAGCUGCUGAAUAUGCACCCUCUAGACCCCAAAUUGGGACCCAGGACCAAUAUCCCCUUUGCCCACCCUGCCUUCCACCACUUGGAACAUCUAUGCCUGGCCACAGAGAGCCCUUCCUGAUGGUGGAUGUGGCAACUAGCUGUCCUUCUGAAGACAGGCCUUUCCCUCCCCGCCCUCUUGGAGAAAACCACAAAAACAAAACAGGAGCCAGAUAUGUUCUAAGGGGAAUGUUUACACCCUGCUGCCAUUUCAUUAAGCUCUUUGGCCCAGGACACAGGCCAUGAGGCAUUUGGGAGGCCUCCCAGAGGUACCCAUGCAACAGGCCCAACUAUCUGCCUGCUCUAACCUCAUCUGAAGUUGCUUUUGGUUCUCUGGCAGCUGAUGAUUUUAAGCUGGCUCAUCUUCUAAGUGCAUGUAUUUACAAACAGACUUUACUGAUGUUCCUUUCAAAACUCCCUCCUCCUGAUUCCUUGCCCAGUCUCUAUUCAUUGAGUCAGAGUCAUAUUUUGUUUGAUACAUUGGUUUAGUCUUAGCUAUUUUUCAAGCACAGACCCCCACGGAUAAGCUUCUGAUGGGCGGGGACAUAUUUUACAUUCCUUUAUAGCCCAGGAGCUAACAUAAUGACCUACAAAGAAUAAAUAUCUCAGGGCACCUGGGUGGCUCAGUUGAUCAAAUGUUCCACUCUUACUUUUGGUUCAGGUCAUGAUCUCAGGGUUCUGGGAUCCAGCCCCACGUCAGGUUCUACUCUCAGUGGGGAGUCUGCUUGAGGAUUCUCUCCCUCUCCCUCUGCCCCUCCUCCCACUCUCUCUCUCUGUGUCUCUAAAAUAAAUAAAUAAAUCUUAAAAAAAUACAUCUCUUGGCAAACUGGAAACAACUCAAAUGUUCAUCAAUAGAGUGGAUACAAAUUAUGGCUUAUUUGUACAACAAAAUACUUCUCAGUAUUCCCAAAUACUUAGGUUCAUUCCUAAAGGAAUGAACCACUGACACAUGCAACAACCUGGAUGAAUCUCAAAAGCAUUACACUGAGCAAAAGAAGCACACCCAAAAGAGCAUAUACUAUGAUCCCAUGUAUAUGAAGCUCUCAGACCAGCAAUGCUAAUCUGUGAUAGAGGUCUAUUAUGGACUGAAUUUUGCGUGCCUCCCAAAUUCCUGUGUUGAAGCCUUAAUCCCCAGUGUGACUGUAUUUGGAGAUGGGGCCUCUAGGAAAGAAAUCGAGAUUAGAUGAGACCAUAAUGGAGAGGCCCUGAUACAAUAUGAUUUGUGUCUUUCUAGAAGGGAGACCAGAGGGCUCAUUUGCAUACGAAGAAGAGGUCAUGUGAGGACAACUGGGAAGGUAGCCAUCACAAACCAGUAAGAGGGCUCUCAACAGGAACUGAAUUGGUCGGAACCUUGAUCUUGGACCUCUAGGCUCCAGAUCAUGAGAAAAUAAAUUUUUGUUGUCCUAGCCACCUAACCUAUAUGAUAUUUUAUUACGGCAACCUUAAGACGAGAUGGAAAUAGUGGUUGCCUCUGGGGAAGCUGGCAUUGACUGGAAAAGGAUACAAGAGAACUUUCUAGGGUGAAAGAAACAUUCUACAUCUUGAUAGGGUGGUGGUCACAUGGAUAUUUACAAAUGUAUAUACAAAAAAGUAUUGAGCUGUUCACUUAAGAUAUGUGUAUUUUAUUACAUGUAAAUUAUAACUCAAUAAAGAAAUAAAUAAAAAAGUCUGUUGGUAAGAAUGGUUAUCUCUUCGCUGUAGCUAACACCCUCCGACUGAUCAACUCGGGAUGAAGGUUUAUCAAACACCCACUAUGGGCAGAUCCUUGCAGUAACCACAGAUACAGCAACAGGUGGGGGGAAUC